GGGCCUGUAGCUCAAUGGCAGAGCAAGCGGCUCAUAACCGCUGGGUUCCAGGUUCGAGUCCUGGCAGGCCCA
This 72-nucleotide transfer RNA is filed under the name Anaerolinea sp. RNAcentral's name for it is "tRNA-Ile". It matches the Rfam family "tRNA". Rfam says of the family: Transfer RNA (tRNA) molecules are approximately 80 nucleotides in length. Their secondary structure includes four short double-helical elements and three loops (D, anti-codon, and T loops). The record is from RNAcentral. Lineage: Bacteria; Bacillati; Chloroflexota; Anaerolineae; Anaerolineales; Anaerolineaceae.